Molecule: ribosomal RNA, 266 nt
Filed under: uncultured bacterium
Lineage: Bacteria
Description: partial 16S ribosomal RNA
Rfam family: Bacterial small subunit ribosomal RNA
Source: RNAcentral
UACGUAGGGGGCUAGCGUUGUCCGGAAUCAUUGGGCGUAAAGCGCGUGUAGGCGGUCCGGUAAGUCCGCUGUGAAAGUCGGGGGCUCAACCCUCGGAUGCCGGUGGAUACUGUCGGGCUUGAGUACGGAAGAGGCGAGUGGAAUUCCUGGUGUAGCGGUGAAAUGCGCAGAUAUCAGGAGGAACACCAAUUGCGAAGGCAGCUCGCUGGGACGUUACUGACGCUGAGACGCGAAAGCGUGGGGAGCAAACAGGAUUAGAAACCCGU